Molecule: non-coding RNA, 73 nt
Organism: Potamilus streckersoni
Lineage: Eukaryota; Metazoa; Mollusca; Bivalvia; Unionida; Unionidae
Source: the annotation of a GenBank genome assembly
CGCUCUGGUGGCCUAGUGGCUAGAGAUCCGCCUCGGAUGCGGAAGAUCCUGGGAUCGAUCCCCAGUCGAGUCA